UGAACGCUGGCGGCGUGCCUAAUACAUGCAAGUCGAACGAGGUGCAGCAAUGCGCCGAGUGGCGAACGGGUGAGUAACACGUAGGUAACCUGCCCCUAAGUCUGGGAUACCCAGGGGAAACCUUGGCUAAUACCGGAUAGCGGCGGAGGGACAUCCCUUCCGCACGAAAGUCGCGUUUGCGACGCUUUCGGAUGGACCUGCGGCACAUUAGCUAGUUGGCGGGGCAACGGCCCACCAAGGCGAGGAUGUGUAGCCGACCUGAGAGGGUGAACGGCCACAAUGGAACUGAGACACGGUCCAUACUCCUACGGGAGGCAGCAGUAGGGAGUUUUCGGCAAUGGGCGAAAGCCUGACCGAGCAACGCCGCGUGAAGUGAGAAGGUCUUCGGAUUGUAAAGCUCUGUUACGAGGGACGAACGGUGGGGUCAGGAAAUGGGCUCCAAUUGACGGUACCUCGCCAGAAAGUGACGGCUAACUACGUGCCAGCCGCCGC
This 492-nucleotide ribosomal RNA is filed under the name uncultured bacterium. RNAcentral describes it as "bacterial SSU rRNA". It matches the Rfam family "Bacterial small subunit ribosomal RNA", at positions 30 to 518 of the family's 1533-position model. The record is from RNAcentral.